This 253-nucleotide ribosomal RNA is filed under the name uncultured bacterium. Its description in RNAcentral is "partial 16S ribosomal RNA". It matches the Rfam family "Bacterial small subunit ribosomal RNA", at positions 524 to 776 of the family's 1533-position model. The record is from RNAcentral.
UACGAAGGGGGCUAGCGUUACUCGGAAUCACUGGGCGUAAAGCGCACGUAGGCGGAUUGUUAAGUCAGGGGUGAAAUCCUGGAGCUCAACUCCAGAACUGCCUUUGAUACUGGCGAUCUCGAGUCCGGGAGAGGUGAGUGGAACUGCGAGUGUAGAGGUGAAAUUCGUAGAUAUUCGCAAGAACACCAGUGGCGAAGGCGGCUCACUGGCCCGGUACUGACGCUGAGGUGCGAAAGCGUGGGGAGCAAACAGG